RNAcentral lists this transfer RNA (72 nucleotides) under Parapolybia indica. RNAcentral's name for it is "tRNA-Phe". RNAcentral also lists the same sequence under 1 other name. Lineage: Eukaryota; Metazoa; Arthropoda; Insecta; Hymenoptera; Vespidae. The record is from RNAcentral.
AUUUAAAUAGCUUAAUUUUUGAUAAGAGCAUAAUAUUGAAGAUAUUAAGGUAAUAAUUUUUAUUUUUAAAUA